Molecule: ribosomal RNA, 560 nt
Filed under: uncultured ciliate
Lineage: Eukaryota; Ciliophora
Description: SSU rRNA
Rfam family: Eukaryotic small subunit ribosomal RNA
Source: RNAcentral
GCCGGGACUGAAAUGAUUAGAAUUUAACGACCUUUACGAGGAACAAUUGGAGGGCAAGUCUGGUGCCAGCAGCCGCGGUAAUUCCAGCUCCAAUAGCGUAUAUUAAAGUUGUUGCAGUUAAAAAGCUCGUAGUUGGAUUUCUGGCAGUGUGACUCCGGCCGGCAUGACGUCGGGUCCAGAGCGCGCUACCAUCCUUCUGUCAACCUUUUCGGGAUUCAUUUCCCGAUCUGGGGCUCAGAUAUUUUACCUUGAGAAAAUUAGAGUGUUUCAGGCAGGCUUUCGCCGGAAUACAUUAGCAUGGAAUAAUGGAAAAGGACUCCAUCCUCUUCUGUUGGUCUGGGAGGCUGAAGUAAUGAUUAAUAGGGAUAGUUGGGGGCAUUAGUACUUUCCAGUCAGAGGUGAAAUUCUCCAAUUUGGUAAAGACUAACUUAUGCGAAAGCAUUUGCCAAGGAUGUUUUCAUUAAUCAAGAACGAAAGUUAGGGGAUCAAAGACGAUCAGAUACCGUCCUAGUCUUAACCAUAAACUAUGCCGACUCGGGAUCGGAGGCACGCAAAAUCGG